GACGAACGCUGGCGGCGUGCUUAACACAUGCAAGUCGAACGGAAAGGCCCUGCUUUUGUGGGGUGCUCGAGUGGCGAACGGGUGAGUAACACGUGAGUAACCUGCCCUUGACUUUGGGAUAACUUCAGGAAACUGGGGCUAAUACCGGAUAGGAGCUCCUGCUGCAUGGUGGGGGUUGGAAAGUUUCGGCGGUUGGGGAUGGACUCGCGGCUUAUCAGCUUGUUGGUGGGGUAGUGGCUUACCAAGGCUUUGACGGGUAGCCGGCCUGAGAGGGUGACCGGCGACAUUGGGACUGAGAUACGGCCCAGACGCCGACGGGAGGCAGCAGUGGGGAAUAGUGCACAAUGGGCGGAAGCCUGAUGCAGCAACGCCGCGUGCGGGAUGACGGCCUUCGGGUUGUAAACCGCUUUCGCCUGUGACGAAGCGUGAGUGACGGUAAUGGGUAAAGAAGCACCGGCUAACUACGUG
Molecule: ribosomal RNA, 468 nt
Filed under: uncultured bacterium
Lineage: Bacteria
Description: partial 16S ribosomal RNA
Rfam family: Bacterial small subunit ribosomal RNA
Source: RNAcentral